UUAAGUUCAGCGGGUAGUCUCACCCGAUUUGAGGUCAAGGUUCGUGGGUCGAGUGGCAAUCACUCGGCCAUUGUCUUCUAAUGAGACGGUUAGAAGCGGGAUGCGGAUGCGAAACCCAAGACGUAGAAAUAUCUUAUCACGUCAGGGAUUGGCAAAGCAGACCCCACUAAUUCAUUUCAGAGGAGCUGGCUUCAACAAGG
Molecule: unclassified non-coding RNA, 200 nt
Filed under: Russula sp.
Lineage: Eukaryota; Fungi; Basidiomycota; Agaricomycetes; Russulales; Russulaceae
Description: partial internal transcribed spacer 2
Source: RNAcentral